This 773-nucleotide ribosomal RNA is filed under the name uncultured Neocallimastigales. RNAcentral's name for it is "partial large subunit ribosomal RNA". It matches the Rfam family "Eukaryotic large subunit ribosomal RNA", at positions 24 to 646 of the family's 3401-position model. Lineage: Eukaryota; Fungi; Neocallimastigomycota; Neocallimastigomycetes; Neocallimastigales. The record is from RNAcentral.
UUGUGAUCGUCUCUCGCAUAUCAAUAAGCGGAGGAAAAGAAACUAACAAGGAUUCCCCUAGUAACGGCGAGUGAAGCGGGAAGAGCUCAAAUUUGAAAUCUUGAAGGGUUUCCCUUUACGAAUUGUAGUUUAAAGAAGUGUUUUCUGUUGAGGUUUUGGUAAAAGUUCUUUGGAAUAGGACAUCAUAGAGGGUGAGAAUCCCGUAUUUGACCUUUACUUUCAACUUUGUGAUACACUUUCAAAGAGUCGGAUUGUUUGGGAAUGCAGUCCAAAAUGGGUGGUAAAUUUCAUCUAAAGCUAAAUAUUGGCGAGAGACCGAUAGCGAACAAGUACCGUGAGGGAAAGAUGAAAAGAACUUUGAAAAGAGAGUUAAACAGUACGUGAAAUUGUCAAAAGGGAAGCGUUUGACACCAGUGUUGUUUUUCUGAAAAUCAAUUAAAGAACUGUUUAUGCUAAGUUGUUUAGACUUUAUCAGCUAUCUGUUUAGUUUUGAGCUUUUCUUUAAUGCACUUUUCAGUUAACAAGUCAACAUCAAUUUCUUUUGCUGUAAAAAAGCUUGAGGAAGGUGGCUUGAGAUUCGUCUUAAGUGUUUAUAGCCUCUUGCCUAUGCAGUCGGAGAGAUUGAGGUCUGCAGCGUAGAUCCUUCGGGGCUAAAUGCAUUUGUGCUAAGUUAUAGCAUUUUAUAGACAACUUGUUGACUAUGAUUUGUCUUGUAGCUUACUCGCUUAUGUUAUUUUACCUACGCUUAGGAUGUUGACGAGACUGUCGAUCUC